RNAcentral lists this long non-coding RNA (2266 nucleotides) under Canis lupus familiaris (dog). RNAcentral describes it as "lncRNA (ENSCAFG00000056245.1)". The record is from RNAcentral. Lineage: Eukaryota; Metazoa; Chordata; Mammalia; Carnivora; Canidae.
UUUUUUUUUUUUUCUUUUUCAUACUGCUUGUUAACUUAAAGGAUAUGUAAAAUCAUUCCAGCGACUGUUAAAUAAUCCAUGACAAAGAAAUAGAUAUAUAUCCAGGACUUGUUUGAACACAGGACUGUGCAACUGCUCCUCUGCGGUGUCAUUAAAAUACAGGGGCACAAUCCCCCAAAGCCAGAUUUCUCAUGUUUUGAGAUAAAAAGUAUGAAGGAAAGAGUAAAAAGCCAUUCCUGAACCAAUAGUCCAAUCUUCUCUUUCUCUUCCAUUCUCAUGUCUACCAACAUAGUGCAAUGUAUACAGGGGAUAAAGCCACACUUUAAAUAUCACUAUUGUCUGAGAAGGUUUUAGCCUUCCUGAAGUCUCCUGCCUGAUGCUGUCUGUCUUGCUGCAAGAGACACACUGAGUAACAUCAAUCAAUUUACUGAAAACAGCUUUGACCUAGUGCCAGGCCAUUACAGAAUACCCUUGUGAUAAAUUCAAGUUUGGUAGUUGGUACAACACAAUCUGUAACUUUAGCCACACUUAACAAUUCUCUCCCUGAUCUGUACAAGGAGAAUGAAUGAAAACAUCAUAAUUUGACAAGGACAAAAGAUACAUAGGCAGUAUAAUGGCUCUCUCAGAGAUUCUGACCUGACAAGCCCUGAAAUGGAUAUUUUUAUGGCAUGACCCAUAUAAGAAAACCCAGGGGAUAAGUUUAGCAUAAGGGCCACAACCCAAAAAGCAAAGAUGUUUCAUAUAUAUAUAUACAUACACACACACACACACACACACACACACACACACACAUUUCCCCAUGUCCCCCUAGGUAACUAAUGAAGUUAGAGAUGUGUUGUGUUUGUUUCUGAAAGGAAUGAAAACUGAUCAUUUGGCUAGUCUAUUUUUUCCUGGAGAGAGAAGUUUAAGCAUUUUAUAGCCCAUUUUUUCCUACACAUGUUUUUAGUUCUCACUGGUAAGUUAUAAGCCCACUACACACUAGAUAUUUGCUUGCAGAGAUACUAAAUCUUUGUAUAUUAAAGGGAUAGGCUUUUCAAAAUAUGACUUAAUUAUUCUUUAAGAUACUCAGAGUCAAAAACUAAUAUUUACCAGUACUCUAAAAUUUGAUCUUCAACCACAGAUGGAAUUUAAUCCUUUAAAAGUCUUUGAAUACUGAUUGAGUUUUGUUGGGGACUUCAUUCACAGAAAACAAUUGUGAUUAGAAUCAAUUCACUUCACAAUUGCAUUUUACCCAAGUAACAUUUACCGAAAACACACAAAAAACAUUUAUAGGUUCUAUGGUUCCUUUCACAAACUUUGUGAUGAAGCUAUAUUCUGCUUUUUCAUAUGGGAUUGCUUUUCUGACUGAUUAAUAAAAACCGUAAGUGAAUGUUAUCAUUAAAUAGACAAAAUUUUUGUGAGGAAAUAUAUAUUGCUGUUACUGGAUUCUAUUUGUCUCCCUUUUAUUUUUAAACAAAUAAAAUCUUUAUAGUUUAGAAGCCUAAAUGUAUUAUGCAUUUAAUAUAACCAGGGAAGAUAAUUUUAUUUUUUAUUUGUUGCAAUUUGGUAUUAUUUUAAUUGAUCAUUACAAACAAAUUUUUCAGGUAAUAAUAAUUUUAAAUGAUUUUUGUAUCUGGCAAAUAAAAGCCAGAGCAGAAUACUGUAUAUAAGAGAUGUUAGGAAGAUUGUUUUUAUCCUAGAGCAUCAGAGUAAUACAUCCUAAUUUCAAAACACUAAAGAAAGAAAAAUAUUUAAGAAGACAUUUUACCUGUGGAUUAUAUUUUCUUAUCUCUUUAUUUUCUCAACUUGGUUUGGUAUUCUUAUAGUACUUUUAUAAAUUAAAGAUAUAUAUAUCUUUAUUAUAUCUAUAUAUAUAUAUCUAUAUCUAUCUAUCUAUCUAUAUAUAUAUAUAUAGAUAGAUAGAUAGAUAUCUUUAAUGUCUCAAUUGUGGGGAAAAAAACCAUAAUAGGAAGCAGCCCUAUCAAAACAAAGGCAAGAAGGGGUCAUUGUAUAGAGAUCUGCCACUUAAUUCUUCCUUCCUAAUCUUAGUAAUGUGAAUAAAUAAUAUAAGGGGCUCAUUUAGGACCAUUAACUUUUUAAAUAUUUCAUUUAUUUAUUUAUUCAUGAGAGAGAGAGAGAGAGAGAGAGAGAGAGAGAGAGAGGCAGAGAGAAAAGCAGACUCCAUGCAGGGAGCCCAACAUGGGAAUCCAUCUCUGGUCUCCAGGAUCACACCCUGGGCUAAAGGUGGCGCUAAACCACUGAGCCACCUGGGCUGCCCAGGACCAUU